GCAUUGGUGAUUCAGUGGUAGUAUUCUCACCUGCCACGCGGGAGACCCGGGUCCGAUUCCCGGCCAAUGCA
RNAcentral lists this transfer RNA (71 nucleotides) under Danio rerio (zebrafish). It matches the Rfam family "tRNA". From Rfam's summary of the family: Transfer RNA (tRNA) molecules are approximately 80 nucleotides in length. Their secondary structure includes four short double-helical elements and three loops (D, anti-codon, and T loops). The record is from Rfam by way of RNAcentral. Lineage: Eukaryota; Metazoa; Chordata; Actinopteri; Cypriniformes; Danionidae.